CGACCAGUUCACUUGCCAUCCAUGCCCUUCUCUGCUCACAUUCAGCAGCCCCCACCACCCACAGGACAGCAACCCACCCACCCACCCCCAGGACAGCAGCCACCCCCACCACAGCCUGCCAAGCCUCAGCAAGUCAUCCAGCAUCACCCUUCACCCCGGCACCACAAGUCAGACCCCUACUCAGCUGGUCAUCUUCGUGAAGCCCCUUCUCCGCUUAUGAUACAUUCCCCUCAAAUGCCACAGUUCCAGAGCCUGACCCAUCAGUCUCCACCCCAGCAAAACGUCCAGCCCAAGAAGCAGGAGCUGCGCCCACCGUCAGUCGUCCAGCCCCAGCCCCUGGUGGUAGUGAAGGAGGAGAAGAUUCACUCACCAAUCAUCCGCAGUGAGCCUUUUAGCACCUCACUUCGCCCAGAGCCGCCCAAGCACCCAGAGAACAUGAAGGCCCCAGUCCACCUGCCUCAGCGGCCUGAGAUGAAGCCUGUAGAUGUAGGGAGGCCUGUGAUCCGGCCUCCAGAGCAGAGUGCACCCCCACCAGGGGCCCCUGACAAGGACAAACAGAAACAGGAGCCAAAAACACCAGUGGCGCCCAAAAAGGACCUGAAAAUUAAGAACAUGGGCUCCUGGGCCAGCCUGGUACAGAAGCAUCCGACCACCCCAUCCUCCACAGCCAAGUCCUCAAGCGACAGCUUUGAGCAUUUCCGCCGCGCUGCUCGGGAGAAGGAGGAGCGGGAAAAGGCCCUGAAGGCUCAGGCUGAGCACGCAGAGAAGGAGAAGGAGCGGCUGAGGCAGGAGCGCAUGAGGAGCCGAGAGGAUGAGGAUGCGCUGGAACAGGCACGUCGAGCCCAUGAGGAGGCACGACGGCGCCAGGAGCAGCAGCAGCAGCAGCAGAGACAGGAGCAGCAGCAGCAGCAGCAACAGCAGGCAGCUGCUGUGGCCGCUGCCUCCGCCCCCCAGGCCCAGAGCUCCCAGCCCCAGUCUAUGCUGGACCAGCAGAGGGAGUUGGCCCGAAAGCGAGAACAGGAGCGGAGGCGCAGGGAGGCAAUGGCAGCUACAAUUGACAUGAAUUUCCAGAGUGAUCUUUUGUCAAUAUUUGAAGAAAAUCUUUUUUGAGAGCACCCAGGUGACUUCUGACUUUUCUGGCAAAAAUGUUGACUCUCCAUAGUGUUAGGGGCGGCAGUGGAAGCAGUAGCAGCAGCCAGGGAUGUCUCUGGGCCUGGCUCUCCUGCAUGCUAUGCCCGGGGCAGGCCUGACGGGCAGCUGAGGAUCGCAGAGCCCAUCUGCCUUACAGCCAGCCGGACAGACGUCCUACCACAUGCCACCCGCUCAGUGGACGUCAGUUCAGAGCACGUCUCAGUAUAUUGAGUCAAGUGCCGGCUGGACCUGAGGCCUGCUUCCCCGCGUGCGGGGCAGAGGCCCUUCUCUGCGCCAAAUGUCUACACAGUAUACACAGGACAUUGUUGCUGCCGCCACCGUGACUGAUUUUCUGUCCCUGAGAACAUGACGUUUGUGACGUCCUACCCAUUGGGAGUCCUUCACACCCCAGCCAUCGCUGCCCACUCCCAGGAGGCCAGGGCAAGCCUGUGUGGACUGGAGCAGCAAGGCACUGGCCCACCCCUUGCUGGCACUGACUUUGCCUUGAACAGACCCUCUCCCCUCCCCCCACAAGCCUUUAAUUGAGAGCCGCUCUCUAUAAGUGUUCGCUUGUGCAAAAGGGAAUAGUGCCGUGGAAGUGUGUGUGCCCAUGGCAGUUUGGACAGAGGUGACUGUUCACAUGUGUGGAUAGGCCUCGCCUGGGGAGUAAGGCCACCAACCAAAGUCAGUCCUUCCCACCUGUGUUUCUGAUUUUAUUUUUUUUCCUAUAUAUAUAUUUUUUUGUUGUUGUUGAAUUCUAUUUUAUUUUUAACUCUCUCUUCUCCUCAGACACAGUGGCACUGCUUAUCUCCAAAUGGUGUGACCGUCUCCUCAUGAGCGGCAGCUCCCUCCCCCCCCCGCUGUGGGUAGUGUAUGACUGUGGCUGUACUGUAUAGUGAACAUAGUUGGCAUAUCUUUGUUUGAAGUUUGUUGGUGACUCCACCAAACUGGUGUAAAAAACAAAAACAGACAAAAAACCCCCACAAACCACCCAACACACACACAGAAAGUCCUGCUUGUAUUCAGUUUCAAACUUUAUUAGUCUUAUUUUUAAUUAUAAAACCAGAAAGCUGCAAUUUCUUUUCCCUCUACCCCUUGUUUGUUGGCUUCUUUGUUUUUUAAUGUCAAAUCUGUUUGUUUUUACCAAGAAAGGGAGAGCCUGGGGAGGGCUCCAGGCCCUGGUGGGCUGCAAACUGAGGCAGAGGUCCCAUGCGCACCUGGUCAGACCAGUGCGCUGGGCCUUCCUUCCUUCCCAUUAGCAUUUUUGUUUUGUUUUGUUUUGUUUUUAAAUUGGAGCCCCUGGUGAGGUUACAUGUGCCAUGAGAACCCAGUCUACACCACAGUGCUGGUGCCUCGGUGUUGGCCAAACUCUGGAGUCACUGACUGGUUUGACUUUCAUGUGGUGAAUAUGCAUUUGGUCUGUACUGAUCAUGGAAUAAACACAUCUCUCUUUUUUAAUGCUGGUGUCUCCCUGAAAUUUCUUUGUGAACCAACUAGGUAUUCUAGUUUGUUUAGGCUAGGCCCAGGUUCCCAGGCACCUUUGUGUAAGAUUUACCAACAGUGGACACAGCUACUCUCCAUUGGCCAGUCCUGCCUUUCCUGGGCAGGAGCUGCCUGGGCUCAGAGUGCCCCCACCCCAAGCUGAAGUUCUAAUAGGGAGCCAGACACCCUGUAACUGCCUGGACUGGGUGGUGAUGAGGCUCACUGAAACUUGGCUUAUCCAGACCACAUUCUUCCUGAAGGUCCUGAUCAUCCUAGUCCCUUCUUCACAAAGGCUUGGGGCUGCUUUUCCCACCAUGCUUGCCUCUACCUAACUCCUAAUUUGAUUUAAGCUCAGGGUUAACCACAUACUCUUAGGUAAUGUACGUUCCCUCCAAAUAGGAUCUCUGUAUCCCUACACAUGAACACAUUUCCACUGAGAAAGCCCCCAGAUGGCUUCCUUACCUUGUGCCCACUUGUUCACACAUGUCCUGGCCCCCAAGAACAGUCUCUGUGAUGUAAGAUAAGUAAUUCUACAUAAGCAGAGACACGUUGACUCAAAGUUUCUAGCACUCUUAAUCCGUAUCUCCCCCCUCAACCAGAAAGGCCGAACCUCAGAGUACAGGGCACAGUUCAGGUACCCAGCCAAUGCUCCCUCCCUUCCCUUAAGGUCCUGUCCUGCUCCAGGCGAUUCGUACAUAACUGUGCUGGAGCAAUGGCAGGUUUAGUCCUCUGAGGCGGCUUUUACCACAUCCGACCCUCACAGUCUUCUCUUGAGAUACUUCCCCACGCUGGGCCCCACUUCUGAGGUGGGGAGAUCAUUUCAGCUGUACCUUCUUGCUGGAGUUUUGAAUGGCCUCCGCACCUUCCUCAUGGGUGUUCCUCUAACUGGGUUGUAAUUAGAACUGGGAUCUAUUUAAUUUCUCUGACCAUUUUCAAAUCCUUCCUGCAGUACUAGACAUCUUAGUCCUAUACAAGAGUAAGAGGUGUGUACAAGCCCCCACUGUACUGUAUGCACGGGUCGCUCGGCCAAUAAUUAUGUCAGUGAAUCUGAGACUUGUAUUAAAAUACUUUAGACAUUUGUAGAAGGGAAUUCAUAGACUUUUCACUUAUAUACUUAAAGGGGGUUUUUUUUGUGCAGUUCUCAUUGCAAAAAUAAACAUUUGUACUGAAUAUAAAGUU
RNAcentral lists this long non-coding RNA (3792 nucleotides) under Rattus norvegicus (Norway rat). Its description in RNAcentral is "long non-coding RNA NONRATT026560". Lineage: Eukaryota; Metazoa; Chordata; Mammalia; Rodentia; Muridae. The record is from RNAcentral.